GACGAACGCUGGCGGCGUGCUUAACACAUGCAAGUCGAACGGAAAGGCCCUGCUUUUGUGGGGUGCUCGAGUGGCGAACGGGUGAGUAACACGUGAGUAACCUGCCCUUGACUUUGGGAUAACUUCAGGAAACUGGGGCUAAUACCGGAUAGGAGCUCCUGCUGCAUGGUGGGGGUUGGAAGGUUUCGGCGGUUGGGGAUGGACUCGCGGCUUAUCAGCUUGUUGGUGGGGUAGUGGCUUACCAAGGCUUUGACGGGUAGCCGGCCUGAGAGGGUGACCGGCCACAUUGGGACUGAGAUACGGCCCAGACUCCUACGGGAGGCAGCAGUGGCGAAUAUUGCACAAUGGGCGGAAGCCUGAUGCAGCAACGCCGCGUGCGGGAUGACGGCCUUCAGGUUGUAAACCGCUUUCGCCUGUGACGAAGCGUGAGUGACGGUAAUGGGUAAAGAAGCACCGGCUAACUACGUG
This 468-nucleotide ribosomal RNA is filed under the name uncultured bacterium. RNAcentral describes it as "partial 16S ribosomal RNA". It matches the Rfam family "Bacterial small subunit ribosomal RNA", at positions 28 to 507 of the family's 1533-position model. The record is from RNAcentral.